UACGGAGGGUGCAAGCGUUAUCCGGAUUCACUGGGUUUAAAGGGUGCGUAGGUGGGUCUGUAAGUCAGUGGUGAAAAUCUCCAAGCUUAACUUGGAAACUGCCAUUGAUACUAUAGGUCUUGAAUAUCCUGGAGGUGAGCGGAAUAUGUCAUGUAGCGGUGAAAUGCUUAGAUAUGACAUAGAACACCAAAUUGCGAAGGCAGCUCACUACGGGAUUAUUGACACUGAGGCACGAAAGCGUGGGGGAUCAAAACAGG
This 257-nucleotide ribosomal RNA is filed under the name uncultured bacterium. Its description in RNAcentral is "partial 16S ribosomal RNA". It matches the Rfam family "Bacterial small subunit ribosomal RNA", at positions 524 to 776 of the family's 1533-position model. The record is from RNAcentral.